RNAcentral lists this ribosomal RNA (575 nucleotides) under uncultured bacterium. RNAcentral's name for it is "bacterial SSU rRNA". It matches the Rfam family "Bacterial small subunit ribosomal RNA", at positions 338 to 915 of the family's 1533-position model. The record is from RNAcentral.
CCUACGGGAGGCAGCAGUGAGGAAUAUUGGACAAUGGGCGCAAGCCUGAUCCAGCCAUGCCGCGUGCAGGAAGAAGCAUCUAUGGUGUGUAAACUGCUUUUGUACAGGAAGAAACACUCCCUCGUGAGGGAGCUUGACGGUACUGUAAGAAUAAGGACCGGCUAACUCCGUGCCAGCAGCCGCGGUAAUACGGAGGGUCCGAGCGUUAUCCGGAAUCAUUGGGUUUAAAGGGUCCGUAGGCGGUUUAAUAAGUCAGUGGUGAAAUCUGGUCGCUCAACGAUCAAACGGCCAUUGAUACUGUUAGACUUGAAUUAUAAGGAAGUAACUAGAAUAUGUAGUGUAGCGGUGAAAUGCUUAGAUAUUACAUGGAAUACCAAUUGCGAAGGCAGGUUACUACUUAUGGAUUGACGCUGAUGGACGAAAGCGUGGGGAGCGAACAGGAUUAGAUACCCUGGUAGUCCACGCCGUAAACGAUGGAUACUAGCUGUUCGGAGCAAUCUGAGUGGCUAAGCGAAAGUGAUAAGUAUCCACCUGGGGAGUAACGUUGCAAGAAUGAAACUUNAAAGGAAUUGAGG